AUGGACGCAUAUAUGAGGCUGAUAAUUCAGGCAGCAGCACUGAUUAGUGUGAUUCAGGCAUGGGUCAUGUUCAUGCACCAGAGAGUUGUUCGUCGUGCUGGGAGACCUUUGAUCCGCUAUGGUCCAUUGUUUGUCCGGGAACAGGAGAGGAUCCAAAAUCUGAACUACAUCUACAACUGCAAUGACGUCGAGGCUCUGUGGAUGCUUCGAAUGAAAAGAGCACCAUUUGACAGGCUUGUCGAGACCUUCAGGAGCAGGGGGCUGCUACAAGAUAGCAUCAACACCAGUGUCGAAGAGCAAGUGGCCAUGUUCCUCCAUGUUGUUGGCCAUAACCAGAGGUUCAGGGUCAUUCACAACACGUUCAGUAGACCAAUGGAGACCAUCUCUAGGUACUUCAAGCAGGUGCUUUUUGCUAUUGGGGAUCUUAGAGGAGAGAUGAUCAGGAGACCAUCUGGUCAGACUCCACCCAAGAUUCGCGAGAGCCCAAGAUGGUAUCCAUACUUCUAGGUGAGCAUUGACAAUAUAUACUUUUCAUGGCUUGAUAUGCUUGUAUUGUUCAAGUUGAGCACUAACACAGGCUUGUGA
RNAcentral lists this ribosomal RNA (585 nucleotides) under Triticum aestivum (bread wheat). RNAcentral's name for it is "partial small subunit ribosomal RNA". Lineage: Eukaryota; Viridiplantae; Streptophyta; Magnoliopsida; Poales; Poaceae. The record is from RNAcentral.